UAUUGCACAAUGGAGGAAACUCUGAUGCGGCGACGCCGCGUGAGGGAUGAAGUAUUUCGGUAUGUAAACUUCUAUCAGCAGGGAAGAAAAUGACGGUACCUGACUAAGAAGCCACGGCCAACCACGUGCCCGCAGCCGCGGUAAUACGUAGGGGGCAAGCGUUAUCCGGAUUUACUGGGUGUAUAGGGAGCGUAGACGGCACGGCAAGCCAGAUGUGAAAGCCCGGGGCUCAACCCCGGGACUGCAUUUGGAACUGCUGAGCUAGAGUGUCGGAGAGGCAAGUGGAAUUCCUAGUGUAGCGGUGAAAUGCGUAGAUAUUAGGAGGAACACCAGUGGCGAAGGCGGCUUGCUGGACGAUGACUGACGUUGAGGCUCGAAAGCGUGGGGAGCAAACAGG
RNAcentral lists this ribosomal RNA (397 nucleotides) under uncultured bacterium. Its description in RNAcentral is "bacterial SSU rRNA". It matches the Rfam family "Bacterial small subunit ribosomal RNA", at positions 362 to 776 of the family's 1533-position model. The record is from RNAcentral.